GACGAACGCUGGCGGCGUGCUUAACACAUGCAAGUCGAACGGAAAGGCCCUGCUUUUGUGGGGUGCUCGAGUGGCGAACGGGUGAGUAACACGUGAGUAACCUGCCCUUGGCUUUGGGAUAACUUCAGGAAACUGGGGCUAAUACCGGAUAGGAGCUCCUGCUGCAUGGUGGGGGUUGGAAAGUUUCGGCGGUUGGGGAUGGACUCGCGGCUUAUCAGCUUGUUGGUGGGGUAGUGGCUUACCAAGGCUUUGACGGGUAGCCGGCCUGAGAGGGUGACCGGCCACAUUGGGACUGAGAUACGGCCCGGACUCCUACGGGAGGCAGCAGUGGGGAAUAUUGCACAAUGGGCGGAAGCCUGAUGCAGCAACGCCGCGUGCGGGAUGACGGCCUUCGGGUUGUAACCCGCUUUCGCCUGUGACGAAGCGUGAGUGACGGUAAUGGGUAAAGAAGCACCGGCUAACUACGUG
Molecule: ribosomal RNA, 468 nt
Filed under: uncultured bacterium
Lineage: Bacteria
Description: partial 16S ribosomal RNA
Rfam family: Bacterial small subunit ribosomal RNA
Source: RNAcentral